CCAGAAUAUGCAGUGUGGUUUAUAAACUUGCACAAUGGUUAGGGCACUGUACCAGAGGUAGGUGAAAGACUUUUGGUUCCCUUUUCCUCCUUGUCUGAGACAAGCUGGAAGGACAGGAGUGAUAACCAGAAGUGAAAACAGUUCAAGGCAGAAUGAGAGUGAGCAAAGAUUUCGAGUGUUCAGGGUACUGGCUGGGUUUGUCAAUCCUUCAUUGCCAUUUCUGUAGCUGUUAAGAAAAUUCAGAGGGCCACAAAAAUGAUUCAAGGGAUGGAACACCUCCCCUACCAUGACAGGCUGAGAGAGCUCCGGGGCUGUUCAGUCUGAAAAAGAGAAGGCUCAGGGGAGACCUGAGAGUGGCCAUUCGGUAUCUAAAGGGGAGCUCUAAGAAGGAAGGGGGCAGACUCUUUAGCAAGGUCUGUUGCGAUUGGACAAGGGGAAAUGGCUUCAAACUAAAAGAGAGGAAGUUUAGGUUGUAUAUAAGGAAGAAGUUUUUUAUGAUACGGGUGGGGAAGCACUGGCACAAGUUGCCCAGAGAGGUGGUGGAUGCCCAUCCCUGGAGACAGUCAAGGUUGCCAUGGAGAAAGGGGAUAAGCAAAGGGAGCGGAAAAGGAAGAAAAGGAGAAAAGGCAAUAAAGAGGACAAAAAUGGAAGCUAAGCCAAAUGGCAGAGCCCUGACAGCAAAGCCAGGAGUUCUCAGUGCCACAGAUUAUGUGAGGAACUGCUAAAGAAGCAAUUCCGCAAAGUGAGUGAGGGCCCAUGGGCCACUGCAUGACCUGCAUGGAAGGUAUGGAUUAUUUGACUUUUGCUGUCUGUCUCUUCCUGUGGUCUCUACACUACUUAUUGUCACCAGCCUAGGUAAGGAGAGCUUGAGCACCCCGGGGCCUGGCUUUUGUAGCAGGGCCACUUCAAGGUCUGCGACCAGAGGCAUCAGCGCCUGCUGGUCCAGGCAGGGCUCCUGCGUACCUGGAACUGCACAGAGAGGGGCUGACACCGAAGAGCAAACCGCUCCUACAGACCGAGCGGAGGCAAUGUGCGUUCCCACGUCCCCCCCUGGCCUCCGGAUCGCUCCGGGCCGUAAUGAGCCGCCGCUCCGCGGUGGGCAGCGUCCUGCCG
This is a long non-coding RNA of Gallus gallus (chicken), 1113 nucleotides long. NCBI's taxonomy places the organism in Eukaryota, Metazoa, Chordata, Aves, Galliformes, Phasianidae. The record is from Ensembl.